AGCAGCCGCGGUAAUUCCAGCUCCAAUAGCGUAUAUUAAAGUUGUUGCAGUUAAAAAGCUCGUAGUUGAAUUUCGGGAUCAGUACGCCGGUCGUGCCUUCGGUAUGCACUGGUGUCACUGGUUUCUCCCUUCUGAAGAACCAUCAUGCCAUUCAGUUGGUGUGGCGGGGAAUCAGGACUGUUACUUUGAAAAAUUAGAGUGUUUAAAGCAGGCUCGCGCUUGAAUACAUUAGCAUGGAAUAAUGAAAUAGGACGUUUGACCCUAUUUUGUUGGUUUCUAGGAUCGACGUAAUGAUUAAUAGGGAUAGUUGGGGGCAUUAGUAUUCAAUUGUCAGAGGUGAAAUUCUUGGAUUUAUUGAAGACUAACUACUGCGAAAGCAUUUGCCAAGGAUGUUUUCAUUAAUCAAGAACGAAAGUUAGGGGAUCGAAGACGAUCAGAUACCGUCGUAGUCUUAACCAUAAACUAUAGCCGACUAGGGAUCGGAUGAUGUUAAUUUUAAUGUACUCAUUCGGUCG
RNAcentral lists this unclassified non-coding RNA (515 nucleotides) under uncultured Glomus. RNAcentral describes it as "SSU rRNA". It matches the Rfam family "Eukaryotic small subunit ribosomal RNA", at positions 569 to 1086 of the family's 1831-position model. Lineage: Eukaryota; Fungi; Glomeromycota; Glomeromycetes; Glomerales; Glomeraceae. The record is from RNAcentral.